UAGAUCACAUUCAAGAAAGUGUUAAGAAAAAGUUAUAGCACAAUCAAAAUCAAACACAAAAUUCAGAUUAUCAAGUCAUGAAAAAUUAACUUUAACCUAAAAUUCAGACUUAACCCAAAAAAUCACAGCAAGAAAGCAGACUAGACAAAUAAAAGAAGAACGGUUCAUUUAGAGCCCAGAUUUACAAGUUCCCCUAAUAAUUUAAACACGCGGCUCAAGUUUGUUCAGUCCAUAAACAAAUGCAAGUUGAAAAAUGAUAAUAGAAUUAAGAUAUUGAGGUUUCAAUUCCUCAUUACUCACUUUCUCGAGAAGCGAACAGAAACUCAUCGAUCAGAGAAAUUGAGAGUGAUAUCGUGAAUAGGAAAGAGAGAUCG
This 374-nucleotide unclassified non-coding RNA is filed under the name Hevea brasiliensis (rubber tree). The record is from RNAcentral. Lineage: Eukaryota; Viridiplantae; Streptophyta; Magnoliopsida; Malpighiales; Euphorbiaceae.